GGGGAAUAUUGCACAAUGGGCGCAAGCCUGAUGCAGCAACGCCGCGUGAGGGAUGACGGCCUUCGGGUUGUAAACCUCUUUUAGUAGGGGAGAAGCGAAAGUGACGGUACCUGCAGAAAAAGCACCGGCUAACUACGUGCCAGCAGCCGCGGUAAUACGUAGGGUGCAAGCGUUGUCCGGAAUUAUUGGGCGUAAAGGGCUCGUAGGCGGCUUGUCGCGUCUGCUGUGAAAUCCCGGGGCUCAACCCCGGGCCUGCAGUGGGUACGGGCAGGCUAGAGUGCGGUAGGGGAGAUUGGAAUUCCUGGUGUAGCGGUGGAAUGCGCAGAUAUCAGGAGGAACACCGAUGGCGAAGGCAGAUCUCUGGGCCGCUACUGACGCUGAGGAGCGAAAGCAUGGGGAGCGAAC
This 405-nucleotide ribosomal RNA is filed under the name uncultured bacterium. RNAcentral's name for it is "bacterial SSU rRNA". It matches the Rfam family "Bacterial small subunit ribosomal RNA", at positions 356 to 773 of the family's 1533-position model. The record is from RNAcentral.